CUUGACUCUAGUCUGGCACUGUAAGGAGACAUGAGAGGUGUAGCAUAAGUGGGAGCUACGCCGGCCCUCGGGCUGGCGCCGUCGACGGUGAAAUACCACUACUUUGAUAGUUUCUUUACUUACUCGGUGAGGCGGAGGGCGUGCGCAGUCGUCGAUUCGUCGCGGCUGCGUCACGGUAUUCUGGAUCCAAGGGAGUUGCGGUCGCGGGCGCCACUGGGACGCGGGCGCACGGGGAUCGGCCGUCCGGGCCGGGGGGAAACCUUCGGCCCGCGGCUCGCCGCCCCCCGUGCGCUCCGUCCCUAGCUCGUGUUUAUCCCUCCCGAUCCGAUUCGAGGACACCGCCAGGCGGGGAGUUUGACUGGGGCGGUACAUCUGUCAAAGAAUAACGCAGGUGUCCUAAGGCUAGCUCAGCGAGGACAGAAACCUCGCGUGGAGCAAAAGGGCAAAUGCUGGCUUGAUCCCGAUGCUCAGUACGCAUAGAGACUGCGAAAGCACGGCCUAUCGAUCCUUUUGGCUUGGGGAGUUUCCAGCAAGAGGUGUCAGAAAAGUUACCACAGGGA
RNAcentral lists this ribosomal RNA (560 nucleotides) under Petalura pulcherrima. RNAcentral describes it as "partial 28S ribosomal RNA". It matches the Rfam family "Eukaryotic large subunit ribosomal RNA", at positions 2421 to 2826 of the family's 3401-position model. The record is from RNAcentral. Lineage: Eukaryota; Metazoa; Arthropoda; Insecta; Odonata; Petaluridae.